RNAcentral lists this long non-coding RNA (4145 nucleotides) under Citrus x clementina. RNAcentral describes it as "Citrus clementina (C. clementina) long non-coding RNA (CCLE_LNC001959)". Lineage: Eukaryota; Viridiplantae; Streptophyta; Magnoliopsida; Sapindales; Rutaceae. The record is from RNAcentral.
GGUGGGAGUGGAUUCCCACUCUCACCUCCCCCAAUGGGAGUCCCACUCCCACUCCCCACUCCAAAAAUGAGUGGGGCCCACGGAGUGGGAUUCUCAAUCCGUGGCCAUUUUAAGCAAGUAAACGCUGGAGUGGGAGGAAUCCAUACUCCUCACUCCCACUCCAGCAAGUAAACACAACCUAAGUGUAACCUAGGACAUCAUUGGUCUUGCUAGGUCUGAAUAACUUUUUUUUUUUUUGAGGAAUAAUUGGGCCUUGCAAUUUUAUUGGAAAAAAAGAAAUAGAAAAGCAGAGAAAAAAAUAGGCUUAGUUGUUGGGGUUGAAUAAAAUAAUUAAUAUAUAAAUAAAAAUUGAACAUUUAAUUUUACACAAAAUUUUUACUAAUAAUUUUAACAGAGCAUACGAUGCAAUUGUAGUUAUAUCGAAAUAAAAUAAAAUAAGAAAAUUGACAUUUAAUUACGUCAAUUCUUCUGAAGAUUGUGAGUCCACGGUCUCUACCCUCGGCGGGCCAUUGGGCUAUUAUUGCUAAAGUGAACUUGGUUGCUUUUGGUCUAAUUAAAGUGGAAUUUAACUAGCGACAUUCCAUCAAUUAAUUCACUCUGGGAAAUUGAAUUGGAUAUAUUUGAAUAAUGUGUGAAUGUGCAAUAAUGGUUAAUAGGGCUGCGUGUAUUCAGGACAGAAAUAUAGAAAAACCCAAAAGAGGCCCGAAACAACUUGGGCUUACAUCAAGCCCGCCCACUAAUCACUUACGCGGACCUGAUUUGAAAAUUUCUCGAACUCUUUUCGACGCGUACCUUGUUUUUUUCUUAUUAUUUUUGGAAGGAAUACGAAAAUUUUUGCAAAUCAAUCUUUUAAAAGAUAAAAGGGGAGGGAAGUUGCAAAUCAAUCUUUUAACUCUUCAUAUAAUUUAUUAAGUAAGAAUUUAAAUUAUAAUACGACGUUUCAAUAAUCUUGUAUACAUCUUUGUUUUGAACAGAAAUUAGGAUCAUUUUAGAUCUCCUAUUGAUUAGAUCUGAUUUGAAACUAUGACUAAAUUUCAAUAACUUAUUUUUUUAAUUAAAUACAAAUCACAAUACUGUAUCUUACUUUAAAUUAUAAUAUUGCUCAUACUUUAGGAAAAUUCUUAAUGGAGCGGGGUAGCAUAAGUAGAAUUGAUGGGCUAGGAACUAGAUAUCAUUCUAGUAUUAAACCAAACUAAUGCGAUUAGUUUACGUUCCAAUCGAAGUAUGAUUAGAUCUCGUUCAAAUCCAAACGAAUUAAUAAGAUGUUUCUAAUAAUGCGUUAAGUGAGAUUAGAUGACGCUCUAAUUCAAACAACUCUAAAAAUGAGAUUUUGAUAAAUAAUUCCAAUGAGAAUUAAAGAGGAGUUUUUGAAUAAUUGAAGCUGAAGUUAUGAAAAAAAUAACAAAACCUCUCCAUUUAUAAUAGAGUAAACAUAUUUCCCUAAGUUAACUUUGAAAGGAAAAGUAAAUCACAAUUAAAAUUGAAAUAAAGACUAAAAUAUAAACCACAAUAGACUCUAAUUAAAAUAGAAAAUCUUAAAAUAAUAUAAAUUCUAGAAUUUAAAGUAACGUCCUAUAUUAAUUCUAGAAUAUAUUAGAAUUAUCACAUCAACUCUAUAACAAACAAAUAAUGUUAUUUCAUGUGUUCAUUUAUUUUUAAAAAAUCAACAUGCAAGUGGUAAGUAUAUUAAAUUCAAUUAUGAAAUUCUAAGUGUGCAACCCAAGAGGGGGGGUGGGGGGUGAAUUGAGUUUCUAAAACUUAAAGCAAAUAUACCACACAAUAAUAUAAACUAAUGCCUUAAUGAAACCAAUAACAAUAAAUUUAACAAUGCACAAAAUUAAAAGGAUAAGGGAAGAGAAAUCAAACACAAAAUUUGUUACGUGGUUCGGCCAACCAUGCCUACGUCCACACCUCCAAGCUCACCGAACUUGAGAAUUUCACUAUCCCAGCCUCCAAGGUUCAAAAACUUUUACAAUUGACAUCACAUGUGUCACAAUCAACCUUUACAACAAGAUAUUAUCCCCAAGAUAUUAUCCCAAAUCUCUUAACUCAUGUAUUUCCCACACGCACACUUUCUCAAAUAUAAGAUUUUCCUCGCACACAAUCUAUGUGUUUAUAGAUAUAUGCCUAAGAUCUGAUUUAAAGAAUGAACGAACAAAUUAAAGCUCAAGAAAUAUUGUAUUCUCAAUAAUAUGCUCUUUGAUAUUUGUUAGAUUCACUUUGAUUUGGAUCUAAUGCAGCCUUUUUAUAGUUGGAGCUGAAAGCUAGCCGUUAUUGACUUUCUGCACAAAGUCGGAUCGUCGUUAAGCCUUAUCGAAUCGUUGUUUUGACUUGAGCAAGUUACCGUUGUGCUAUAAUUUCAAAUUGUCGGAUCACCAUGUUCUAGAUUUCGGAUCGCCGUUAGUUUCCAGAAAGUAAAUUCCAAUUAUGUUCGAUGUCGAUUAGUCGUUAUCUCCCAAACAGUUAGCCGUUUGCUACAAUGACAUUAUUUUCUAAAAUUAUUAUUUUGUCCUAAAACUUUCUAUAAUUAUAUUAUGUCCCAAAUCUUCAUAAAACUUUACAAAUAAGUCAAUUUCUAGAGUUUCGAAAUAAUACUUGUUGAUUUCAAAGUUCUCAAAACUUUUUCAAUUUAAACCAUUAACUUGAAAAUAACCAAUUUCAUAAAAUCAUUUUUCCAUUAAGUAUAAAACCUUUAUAUUAUGAAAAUAAUGAUUCAUUUAAAAUGUAUGAAAAAUAAUUUGAGUUUUUAAAAACUUAAUCAUUCUUAAAUUUGUUUGCUUUCAUCAAAAUCAACAUUAUAGAUACAUAAAUAUUAACAAACUAUACAUGUCACGUAUAGAAUAAUUGAUUGUAUUAACUUUUAUGUACCAUAGACUUUCUCUUGUUAUUGUUAGAUGGGAAAAUAUCCACCGUCCACCUAUUUUUUACACCUUUUUUCAAAAAUACACAAUUCCUUCAUUUUUUAGCUGGAAUCCACCUAAAGUUACAUUUUUUUUCACUUUUCCACUUCCGUUUGGAAUCCGUUAAGAAAACUAACGGAAACUUAAUAAAAUGACCAUUUUACCCCCAAAACGAAAAUUACAAUUUCACCUUAAAAAAUACCAAAAAUAAUAAGAUUUAAUGAUGAAUAUCAUUAUUGGUACUUUAAUGAAGUACAAAAAAAUCUUAACUACUAGAGAUUAUAACUCAAUUAAUAAUAAAACUCUACUUAUCUUAAAUUCAAUUGAUGAUUUGUGAGAUUGGGCUAUUAUACCAAAAAUAAUAAGAUUUAAUGAUGAAUAUCAUUAUUGGUACUUUAAUGAAGUACAAAAAAAUCUUAACUACUAGAGAUUAUAACUCAAUUAAUAAUAAAACUCUACUUAUCUUAAAUUCAAUUGAUGAUUUGUGAGAUUGAGCUAUUUUUAAUACUACUGUUAUAAUUUAGCAUUCUAAUUACAGAUAUAUUUAAAAAAAAAACAUGCAUUUGAUGGUUAUGGAAUUAAUUUAUUUAUUGACCGAUGGGGAAAAUAAUUAGAUUAAUCUAAUUAUUUUUUGUAAUUUUUAAGGUGAAAUUGUAAUUUUCGUUUUGGGGGUAAAAUGGUCAUUUUUUAAAGUUUCCGUUAGUUUUCUUAACGGAUUCCAAACGGAAGUGGAAAAGUGAAAAAAAAUGUAACUGUUGGUGGAUUCCAGCCAAAAAAUGAAGGAAUUGUGUAUUUUUGAAAAAGGUGUAAAAAAUAGGUGGACGGUGGAUAUUUUCCCUUGUUAGAUCAACAUGAAGUGCUAUAUAACUUUGAAAACUCAAUAAUUUAGUUUUGCUUGACAUUUGACAAUUAUAUAAAGAGUGCGGGAACUUGUCAUGACUAGCAAUAAUAUUAAGGAAAAAGAUAAAGAAACAUAAUGAAGACAAAAGGAAGAAAUAAGAAAUUUUUGUUCAGCCCUUACAAAAUAACAAUUUAGAAUUAGAAUCAAUUUUUAGAAGUUAAUUGGACAGACCCCCGAUGAAUUAGUAUCAGAGCAUGCUUUAUAUAGUUAAUUCUAAUUAGAAGGUCCAAUAGUUUAUAAAGAGAAUGAUUUAGAACUUAGCACCUACCAUAGUAAAAAGACAACUUUAAAUAGAUAUUAUAUAGAUUGUAAUAUUGAAGGCAAUUUAAACAUGACCUAUAUAC